GAUGAACGCUGGCGGCGUGCCUAAUACAUGCAAGUCGAGCGAACAGAUGAUGAGCUUGCUCCUCUGACGUUAGCGGCGGACGGGUGAGUAACACGUGGAUAACCUACCUAUAAGACUGGGAUAACUUCGGGAAACCGGAGCUAAUACCGGAUAAUAUAUUGAACCGCAUGGUUCAUUAGUAAAAGUCGGUUUUGCUGUCAGUAAUAGAGGGAUCCGCGCUGCAUUAGCUAGUUGGUAAGGUAACGGCUUACCAAGGCAACGAUGCGUAGCCGACCUGAGAGGGUGAUCGGCCACACUGGAACUGAGACACGGUCCAGACUCCUACGGGAGGCAGCAGUAGGGAUUCUUCCGCAAUGGGCGAAAGCCUGACGGAGCAACGCCGCGUGAGUGAUGAAGGUCUUCGGAUCGUAAAACUCUGUUAUUAGGGAAGAACAAAUGUGUAAGUAACUAUGCACGUCUUGACGGUAACUAAUCAGAAAGCCACGGCUAACUACGUG
This 497-nucleotide ribosomal RNA is filed under the name uncultured bacterium. Its description in RNAcentral is "partial 16S ribosomal RNA". It matches the Rfam family "Bacterial small subunit ribosomal RNA", at positions 28 to 507 of the family's 1533-position model. The record is from RNAcentral.